RNAcentral lists this ribosomal RNA (506 nucleotides) under uncultured bacterium. RNAcentral's name for it is "partial 16S ribosomal RNA". It matches the Rfam family "Bacterial small subunit ribosomal RNA", at positions 29 to 523 of the family's 1533-position model. The record is from RNAcentral.
AUUGAACGCUGGCGGCAGGCCUAACACAUGCAAGUCGAACGGCAGCACAGAAGAGCUUGCUCUUUGGGUGGCGAGUGGCGGACGGGUGAGUAAUGUCUGGGAAACUGCCCGAUGGAGGUGGAUAACUACUGGAAACGGUAGCUAAUACCGCAUAACGUCGCGAGACCAAAGUGGGGGACCUUCGGGCCUCACACCAUCGGAUGUGCCCAGAUGGGAUUAGCUAGUAGGUGGGGUAAUGGCUCACCUAGGCGACGAUCCCUAGCUGGUCUAAGAGGAAGACCAGCCACACUAGAACUGAGACACGGGCCAGCCUCCGACGGGAGGCAGCAGUGGGGAAUAUUGCAGAAUGGGCGCAAGCCUGAUGCAGCCAUGCCGCGUGUAUGAAGAAGGCCUUCGGGUUGUAAAGUACUUUCAGCGGGGAGGAAGGCGGUGAGGUUAAUAACCUUGCCGAUUGACGUUACCCGCAGAAGAAGCACCGGCUAACUCCGUGCCAGCCGCCGCCGUAA